RNAcentral lists this transfer RNA (85 nucleotides) under Bacteroidales bacterium. RNAcentral's name for it is "tRNA-Ser". It matches the Rfam family "tRNA". From Rfam's summary of the family: Transfer RNA (tRNA) molecules are approximately 80 nucleotides in length. The record is from RNAcentral. Lineage: Bacteria; Pseudomonadati; Bacteroidota; Bacteroidia; Bacteroidales.
GGAGAAAUGGCAGAGUGGUUGAACGCGGCGGUCUUGAAAACCGUUUUACGGCAACGUAACGGGGGUUCGAAUCCCUCUUUCUCCG